RNAcentral lists this ribosomal RNA (281 nucleotides) under Bacteroides uniformis. Its description in RNAcentral is "partial 16S ribosomal RNA". It matches the Rfam family "Bacterial small subunit ribosomal RNA", at positions 496 to 776 of the family's 1533-position model. Lineage: Bacteria; Pseudomonadati; Bacteroidota; Bacteroidia; Bacteroidales; Bacteroidaceae. The record is from RNAcentral.
UAUUAAUGUGUGCCAGCAGCCGCGGUAAUACGGAGGAUCCGAGCGUUAUCCGGAUUUAUUGGGUUUAAAGGGAGCGUAGGCGGACGCUUAAGUCAGUUGUGAAAGUUUGCGGCUCAACCGUAAAAUUGCAGUUGAUACUGGGUGUCUUGAGUACAGUAGAGGCAGGCGGAAUUCGUGGUGUAGCGGUGAAAUGCUUAGAUAUCACGAAGAACUCCGAUUGCGAAGGCAGCUUGCUGGACUGUAACUGACGCUGAUGCUCGAAAGUGUGGGUAUCAAACAGG